This 303-nucleotide ribosomal RNA is filed under the name uncultured bacterium. Its description in RNAcentral is "partial 16S ribosomal RNA". It matches the Rfam family "Bacterial small subunit ribosomal RNA", at positions 507 to 807 of the family's 1533-position model. The record is from RNAcentral.
AGCAGCAGCCGCGGGAAUACGUAGGGUGCGAGCGUUAAUCGGAAUUACUGGGCGUAAAGCGUGCGCAGGCGGUUAUAUAAGACAGAUGUGGAAUCCCCGGGCUCAACCUGGGACCUGCAUUUGUGACUGUAUAGCUAGAGUACGGUAGAGGGGGAUGGAAUUCCGCGUGUAGCAGUGAAAUGCGUAGAUAUGCGGAGGAACACCGAUGGCGAAGGCAAUCCCCUGGACCUGUACUGACGCUCAUGCACGAAAGCGUGGGGAGCAAACAGGAUUAGAUACCCCAGUAGUCCCUGUCUCUUAUAC